This 259-nucleotide ribosomal RNA is filed under the name uncultured prokaryote. RNAcentral describes it as "partial 16S ribosomal RNA". It matches the Rfam family "Bacterial small subunit ribosomal RNA", at positions 524 to 782 of the family's 1533-position model. The record is from RNAcentral.
UACGUAGGGCGCAAGCGUUGUCCGGAAUUAUUGGGCGUAAAGAGCUCGUAGGCGGUUUGUCGCGUCUGGUGUGAAAACUCAAGGCUUAACCUUGAGCUUGCAUCCGGUACGGGCAGACUAGAGUGUGGUAGGGGAGACUGGAAUUCCUGGUGUAGCGGUGGAAUGCGCAGAUAUCAGGAGGAACACCGAUGGCGAAGGCAGGUCUCUGGGCCACUACUGACGCUGAGGAGCGAAAGCAUGGGUAGCGAACAGGAUUAGA